ACGUCGGGGCCGGAGCCUGGACAUGGCGGACACCCGAAGUGUGCACGAAACCCGGUUCGAGGCGGCCGUGAAGGUGAUUCAAAGUUUGCCGAAAAACGGUUCAUUUCAGCCAACAAAUGAAAUGAUGCUAAAGUUUUACAGUUUUUAUAAACAAGCCACAGAAGGACCCUGCAACAUCUCAAGACCAGGAUUCUGGGAUCCUAUUGGGAGAUAUAAAUGGGAUGCUUGGAGUUCACUGGGAAAUAUGACCAAAGAAGAAGCUAUGAUUGCAUAUGUUGAAGAAAUGAAAAAGAUUCUUGAGACCAUGCCAAUGACGGAGAAAGUUGAAGAAUUACUCCAUGUAAUAGGUCCAUUCUAUGAAAUUGUAGAGGACAAAAAGAGCAGCAGAAGUUCUGAUUUAACCUCAGUCCGAUUGGAGAAAGUCACUAAAUAUUUAGAAGAUCUUGGCAAUGUCCUGUCUUCUACUCCAAAGGUUAAAACUGUAAAUGGGAAAGCUGAAAGCAGUGAUAGUGGAGCUGAAUCUGAAGAAGAAGAGAACCAAGAAGAAGUAAAAGAAGCCAAGCAAACUAAGGAAGCGAUACCAGAGUUCACUGACAAUAAAGAAUUGGAAAUUGUUUUCACUAAUGGUUAUGACCAAGACAACAUUCUCCAAGAUAUACCAAAUGAUAUUCAUGCCAGUUCUUCCCUAUUAAAUGGCUCAAGCACUGAAGAAGUAAAAAAUGGGGACCAAAACUUAAAACAAACUGGACAAACUACUGUCAGCAUUCAUCAAGGCAUAUGUGAUGAUCAUGUUGAAGAUAUUUCAGGAAUUCAGCAUUUGACGAGUGAUUCAGACAGUGAAGUUUACUGUGACUCUAUGGAGCAAUUUGGACAAGAAGAGUCUUUAGAAAUCUUUUCAUCAAAUAAAGGACCAUUUAGAUAUUCAUCUCAUUAUUUGGGAGAUCACAAUCAACUUUUGGAAAAUUCUGGUCUUUCUGAAGAAGUUUGCAUUGCCUCGGGAAAUCUUCCGGUUGGAGAUAUUGCUAUAGAAGGAAAAGGAGAAGUAAAGCAUGGUGGGGAAGAUGGCAGACCCAGCAGUGGAGCACCCCAACGAGAGAAACGUGGUGGGGAAAAGGAGGAAUUCUCUGGUGUGAGAAGGGGGAGAGGCCACCGGAUGCAGCCUUUAGGUGAUGGGAUUCAUAGUGGCCACAUGGGCAGUGGAGGUGAUGGAGAACGAUGGGGUUCUGACAGAGGAUCUGGAGGCAGCCUUAACGAGCAGAUUGCAGUGGCCCUCAUGCGAAUGCAAGAAGACAUGAAGAACAUCCUUCAGAGACUGCACACGCUGGAGACACUGGCUGCCUCACAGGCAAAGUCAACAGCAUUACCGGCUGAUAAUCGGUCUCCUUCAAUGAGACCAUCGUGGUGGCCAUUUGAGAUGUCUCCUAGUGCAUUAACCUUUGCUAUUGUAUGGCCUUUUAUUGCUCAGUGGCUGGUACACUUAUAUUAUCAAAGAAGAAGAAGGGAAAAUUCAAGAAGCCAGAAGCAGAAUGUGGGGAAUCUCUUCAUUUGCUUCAAGGGAAAAGAUUUGUGAUCUUGGCUGGGUGAAUGACCUGAGGCUAGCUUGCUUUUACGCAAAGAUUAAAAAGGAAAAACAACAGAUAAACAAAAUAUACAACCAGUAUAUCAGCCAGAUCUGACAGUAUGCAAAAUGCCACAACCCAUAGUCUUUCACCUCAGCAAUAAAAAGGAAACUGCACUGAGUGGAGGAGCUGCCCUUUAUCCAAGACUGCUGGGCCUGGAAGACAUAUGAAUAAAAAGGAAUAUGAUGUAUCCCCAGGAAUUGCAGGCUCGACAAUAAUUAGAUUUCGCUUUUGUUGCUUCAGCAGCUCAGUGGGGCGGGGUGGUAUUAGGAUUUUGUUCUUUUAGCACUACAAAAAUAUCUUCUAGACUAAAUAUUACUGAUACUUGAAUGAGCAUUCUCAACUAGAUGACAAAUAGCAUACAUAGAAUUAUUCCCCCCCCCCUUGAACUUGGAGGACAUUAAAUUAUUAAUUAUUGUUUGGUAACAUAUUUACCCGAUUAUCUCCAAUGUAGAAACAUGAACUGUUUUUUUUCAGCACACAAUAAUGAUGAGAACAGAUUUUUGAGGGAAUUUUGAUUUUUUUGGUCAUAAACUAGUGGAAGGGGUGGGCACGGAAAGGGAAGCCAUGUGGGGGGAAAAAGGUGUAACUCAGGGGCAAAAAACCUAGAUGUCAAAUGAAAUUAAAGAUUUCAUAUCAUAAUCUCUGAAUUAUCAUGGCAAAGGAAGACAAAUUGCCAAAGGAAGCUAUUUCAGAAUUCUGUGAACUGCACAGUGCUUCAUUAUCCUGACAUUUUGGUGGCGUUUGAAAUCAUCUUGUUUUGGCAUCUUCCUUCACUGUACAUAAGUGGGUUCCAGUGCUCCCUGUCUGGUCAGAGUGGAAAUGAUUUCCCUAUACUCUGCUCAUUUAGUUUCUAGGAAGAGUUUGAGGGAGGUACAUGUCCUGCAUGAUAGAAAUGAAGGGGUCUUGAUGUUUCAGAGAAUAGACUGAUGCUGCAAUGUACAAAUAAUAGUUUGAAUCAACCACCUCUAUCUAUUUCUUGGUAAUUAUUUUCUUUAGGGGAAGAACUAUAGUUUCUGCACGGAGUGCUUUGAAAUAUAAAAUGAAAACUUAUUUAUACUGUUUUUUUUUUUUAAUGCAGUACAGAAAGCUCAUGAUUUAACAGUUAGUUGCUCAAAUAAUAUUCAGCAAUUCAUGUUGCCAUGAAUAAAUCACUUAACCUCUUAGUGCCUCAGUUUAUCCACCUGGGGAUAAUAUUUGCAAUAUACCUAAACACAGGGAUGUUGUGAAGAUAAUAAUGUAAGCUAUUGCACAUCUGGCUGCCAUUUGAUUAAACUAUACCUCAAGUGACAGAAACUUUUCUAAGACAUUGUAACAUUUGGAUUUUGAGGAGAGAAGGAUUUGAAUUGGUGCCCUGGAAAGCCCUCUUUGGAAAUGAUUACUUCUAUGUACAAAAUGAUCCUUGUGAUAGGAUAAUUCCGUGGCUCAUUCUUUACUAGUAUGUGCUUUAUGAUUCAUUGCUAAAAAUCAGUGUCGCAUAUUUGUUUCCUGAAAAAUGAUAUCCAGCACAGCAGAGCACUAUACUGAGUACAGUAUAUUUUUAAUCAGAAAAACUCAUCUAUAAUUAAUUCACAAGGAUGGCCUUUUUCUAGAGGAAAAAUGUGUAUAUUUUUAAAUUGGCAUUCCUCAAGUCCUUUCUUUUCAUUACAUAUCCCUUGCUAGUUUUUCUUUUAUCUCCAUCUGUGUGAAAGGGAGCAGUUGCUAACAACAUCUGCUUAAGGAGCAAACAAGCACCUUUUUGAGAAAAAAAAGUCAGUGAAUUGCAUAUAAAAAAAUAAAAAGAUCAAAUCUGUAUAGAAGAAGUAGCUAUAAAAUUUUAUUUUCAAAAACAGUAAUAAAAUUAGGGGCUUCUCUUAGUAAUGGUGAGGGAUACAAAUGAUCUUUUUGACUAGUUUAAUCAGACUUGUUGAAUGUAAGCAGCUGUGAUCAACUGCAGGUGGUUCAGGGGUUGUCAUCUCUUGGGGUUAAAAUACUUUCUAUCCUGUCCUAAAAUCUUAUUUUGUAGUUUGAAAAGCACUUUGCACACAGCUCUUGUAUAUAAAACACAAAGAUGUGAUUUUAGGAUUUAAUGUUAACGCUUUGUUAAACAAAACCUGAUUUUAAACCAAUAAUGGUAUUUUUUUUAAUGAAAUAUUUCUUCUGUUGUUUCUUUACUGUAAAGCCGAGUACAAAAUAAAAACAGUAAUAAGAAA
Sarcophilus harrisii (Tasmanian devil) is the source of this 3811-nucleotide RNA transcript. It is a transcript of the gene named acyl-CoA binding domain containing 5, with no coding region annotated. The transcript is spliced from 15 exons. The record is from RefSeq and is a predicted model, not a curated record. Lineage: Eukaryota; Metazoa; Chordata; Mammalia; Dasyuromorphia; Dasyuridae.